This 35-nucleotide small RNA is filed under the name Arabidopsis thaliana (thale cress). RNAcentral's name for it is "ATSL281480". Lineage: Eukaryota; Viridiplantae; Streptophyta; Magnoliopsida; Brassicales; Brassicaceae. The record is from RNAcentral.
AAGUAUCAAACUUUGACAAGUGAGGACAGAAAAAU